RNAcentral lists this ribosomal RNA (347 nucleotides) under uncultured bacterium. Its description in RNAcentral is "bacterial SSU rRNA". It matches the Rfam family "Bacterial small subunit ribosomal RNA", at positions 8 to 334 of the family's 1533-position model. The record is from RNAcentral.
AGAGUUUGAUUAUGGCUCAGGACGAACGCUGGCGGCGUGCCUAACACAUGCAAGUCGAACGAAGCUUGAAGCUCUGAGAUUUCGGUCAAGGAGCGGAUAUGACUUAGUGGCGAACGGGUGAGUAAUACAUGAGCAACCUGCCUUUCAGAGGGGGACAACAGCUGGAAACGGCUGCUAAUACCGCAUAAUAUACGGGGCCGGCAUCGGCGCUGUAUCAAAGGAGCAAUCCGCUGAAAGAUGGGCUCAUGUCUGAUUAGCUAGAUGGCGGGGUAAAGGCCCACCAUGGCGACGAUCAGUAGCCGGUCUGAGAGGAUGAACGGCCACAUUGGGACUGAGAUACGGCCCAG